GAUGAACGCUGGCGGCGUGCCUAAUACAUGCAAGUCGAGCGAACAGACGAGGAGCUUGCUCCUCUGACGUUAGCGGCGGACGGGUGAGUAACACGUGGAUAACCUACCUAUAAGACUGGGAUAACUUCGGGAAACCGGAGCUAAUACCGGAUAAUAUAUUGAACCGCAUGGUUCAAUAGUGAAAGACGGUUUUGCUGUCACUUAUAGAUGGAUCCGCGCCGCAUUAGCUAGUUGGUAAGGUAACGGCUUACCAAGGCAACGAUGCGUAGCCGACCUGAGAGGGUGAUCGGCCCCACUGGAACUGAGACACGGUCCAGACUCCUACGGGAGGCAGCAGUAGGGAAUCUUCCGCAAGGGGCGAAAGCCUGACGGAGCAACGCCGCGUGAGUAAUGAAGGUCUUCGGAUCGUAAUACUCUGUUAUUAGGGAAGAACAAAUGUGUAAGUAACUAUGCACGUCUGGACGGUACCUAAUCAGAAAGCCACGGCUAACUACGU
Molecule: ribosomal RNA, 496 nt
Filed under: uncultured bacterium
Lineage: Bacteria
Description: partial 16S ribosomal RNA
Rfam family: Bacterial small subunit ribosomal RNA
Source: RNAcentral